RNAcentral lists this ribosomal RNA (253 nucleotides) under uncultured bacterium. RNAcentral describes it as "partial 16S ribosomal RNA". It matches the Rfam family "Bacterial small subunit ribosomal RNA", at positions 524 to 776 of the family's 1533-position model. The record is from RNAcentral.
UACGGAGGGGGCAAGCGUUAUUCGGAAUUAUUGGGCGUAAAGGGCGCGUAGGCGGCUAGAUGUGUCAAAGGUGAAAUCCCUCGGCUCAACUGAGGAACUGCCUUUGAAACUGUCUGGCUUGAGGCCGGGAGAGGGUAGCGGAAUUCCCAGUGUAGCGGUGAAAUGCGUAGAGAUCGGGAAGAACAUCGGUGGCGAAAGCGCUCUACUGGACGGUGUCUGACACUCAGGGACGAAAGCUAGGGGAGCGAAUGGG